Pelodiscus sinensis (Chinese soft-shelled turtle) is the source of this 567-nucleotide long non-coding RNA. RefSeq lists it as uncharacterized. The record is from RefSeq and is a predicted model, not a curated record. NCBI's taxonomy places the organism in Eukaryota, Metazoa, Chordata, Testudines, Trionychidae.
GAAUAAUAAAAUUGGAUCACUGAUACAGAGUGAUUUAGUUUGUUUGGUAGGAGGGGAUUUUAUUAUGAUAUGUAAAAAGAGUAGGAUCAGGGACUUUAUCCUGGGAAGAAGUAAUCCUGAAAACGUCUUGGGGAUUCUGACGGAUAAUCAGCUCAACAUGAAUUCCCAGUGUGACACUGUGUCCAAAAAGGCCAUUGUGAUCCUUGGAACUUUGAGUAGGAAGGAGAAUAUGUUACCUCUCUGUCUGGCAUCGAUGCACGUGUGGAAUUCUGGGUCCAGUUCUGGUGCCCACAGUUCCAGAAGGAUGUUGAUAAAAGGGAAAGGAUCCAAAGCAGAGCCACCAGAAUGAUUAAAGAGCCAGAGAACUGUGAGGACACCAUGGCAGUAAAUCCACCAAACUACAGCUACAAAAGGAUCUCACAAAACUGGAUUCAUCAGCAUCACACUGCCAUCAAAAAUGAGGUUUUGGUCAAUCACAGAAGAGAGCUGAGUGCUAAUCUCAUGCGUUAGUGUAAACAUGAAACUCAUGCUUGGGUUGUCAGCUUGUCAAUUAAAUCAUCAACUGUG